CGUGAGUUUUAAAAGAACAAGAAGAAGAAGAAGAAAAAGAAAAAGACCAAUAUGACGGUGGCGCUUCGGACCAGCGUGCUUCAGAUUUAGCCAAUCAGCUUCCAGGAGUUCGCCUCGUGCAGCCAGUCAUGAAAGGAUCUGAAAGCUGCACUUCAGACUUGGACUUGUCUUUUAAGGGUUCCCCAGAAAUCAUCUAUCCUGAAUGAGUGGAGUUCAAACCAUAAUUUUGUCCUCUUUCUGCCAAUCUACAAUUGGAAACACUGCAUUGCUAUAGCUGCUGACUGACAUCAUGUGGUCCUGCCUGGCCGUUCUGCAGCCUUCAAGAUGGCGAAGAUUUCUCUUCAACUACUCUGUGACCUCUGCCCUUGCUUGCCCUUCCACCUGACACCGGCUAAAGAGAGGAGUUUUGUUCAGGGAUGAUGAGUUGCAGCAUCCUGCAGCAGUCACUUCAUGAUGUUUCCAUAAACUUGGAUACCAGAUAAGUUCUUAAUGCUGGAUUAAAAGCCCAUUUUAAAAUUUUUACUGACAAAAAUUCCAUAUCUGUCAUUUUUUUUCUCUCUCUCACUUUGAGAAAUGCUAAUUUACACCCAGGCAGGCGAAGCUCCAGUUCCACGCCUCAGUGAGCCCAUCUGUAAAUCUUAAAAGCAAUGACUAUGGGAGAAAGCCUGUCUGCUGAUGAACCCGCUUUGCAAAACAUUUCAGCGAUGGAGCAAGAAAAAAACAAAACAAAACACACAUACCAAUCAACUCAAGGACUGUACAAAGAGCGGACUGUCGUUGCUAAGAGACAGAUGCAGAAUAACCUCCAUGAGAAACCUGACCAUGACCCUUCCUCCUCCUCCUCCUCCUCCCAGUCUCUGCCUCUUCUACCCAAUUACGGCUGCACAUUAGAGACUACCUCUGUCACAUUAAAGCUAAAAUGCCAGAGAGAAGAGGGAGUAGUUUUAUGUAGAAACUGUACAGAUUCUGGAUUAUUCAUCAAAGCACAAGAAACUAAUAAUAAUACACAUUUUUAUUUAUUCAUUUAUUUAUUUUUACAUGUAUGCAGGGGUUGGUGUUGGUGUUGGUGUGUUUUACCCAGGCUGGAGG
This is a long non-coding RNA of Melanotaenia boesemani (Boeseman's rainbowfish), 1089 nucleotides long. RefSeq lists it as uncharacterized. The transcript has 3 exons. The record is from RefSeq and is a predicted model, not a curated record. NCBI's taxonomy places the organism in Eukaryota, Metazoa, Chordata, Actinopteri, Atheriniformes, Melanotaeniidae.